AUUGAACGCUGGCGGCAUGCCUUACACAUGCAAGUCGAACGGUAACAGGUUAAGCUGACGAGUGGCGAACGGGUGAGUAAUGUAUCGGAACGUGCCCAGUCGGGGGGGAUAACUGCUCGAAAGAGCAGCUAAUACCGCAUACGACCUGAGGGUGAAAGCGGGGGAUCGCAAGACCUCGCGCGAUUGGAGCGGCCGAUAUCAGAUUAGGUAGUUGGUGAGGUAAAGGCUCACCAAGCCGACGAUCUGUAGCUGGUCUGAGAGGACGACCAGCCACACUGGGACUGAGACACGGCCCAGACUGCUACGGGAGGCAGCAGUGGGGAAUUUUGGACAAUGGGCGCAAGCCUGAUCCAGCCAUGCCGCGUGCGGGAAGAAGGCCUUCGGGUUGUAAACCGCUUUUGUCAGGGAAGAAAAGGUUCUGGCUAAUACCUGGGACUCAUGACGGUACCUGAAGAAUAAGCACCGGCUAACUACGUG
This 477-nucleotide ribosomal RNA is filed under the name uncultured bacterium. RNAcentral's name for it is "partial 16S ribosomal RNA". It matches the Rfam family "Bacterial small subunit ribosomal RNA", at positions 30 to 507 of the family's 1533-position model. The record is from RNAcentral.